UGAGGAAUAUUGCACAAUGGGCGCAAGCCUGAUGCAGCGACGCCGCGUGGGUGAUGAAGGCUUUCGGGUCGUAAAACCCUUUUCUGUGUGACGAGCAAGGACGGUAGCACAGGAAUAAGCCUCGGCUAACUACGUGCCAGCAGCCGCGGUAAAACGUAGGAGGCGAGCGUUAUCCGGAGUUACUGGGCGUAAAGCGCGUGUAGGUGGUUGGAUACGUCUGCUGUGAAAUGUCCCGGCUUAACCGGGAGGGUGCGGCAGAUACGGUCUGACUUGAGGGCGACAGAGGAGCGUAGAAUUCCGGGUGUAGUGGUGAAAUGCGUAGAGAUCCGGAGGAAUACCAGUGGCGCAAGCGGCGCUCUGGGUCGCAACUGACACUGAGACGCGAAGGCAUGGGGAGCGAACGGGAUUAGAUACCCCCGUAGUCCCUGAGCGGGCUGGCAAGGCGCAU
This 448-nucleotide ribosomal RNA is filed under the name uncultured bacterium. Its description in RNAcentral is "bacterial SSU rRNA". It matches the Rfam family "Bacterial small subunit ribosomal RNA", at positions 355 to 825 of the family's 1533-position model. The record is from RNAcentral.